UGAGGAAUUUUGCGCAAUGGGGGAAACCCUGACGCAGCAACGCCGCGUGGGUGAUGAAGGCCUUCGGGGCGGAAAGCCCUGUCGGGCGGGAAGAACGUCCCUUCGGGGAAUGACGGUACGGAGAGAGGAAGAAAGGGCUAACUACGGGGAAGCAGCCGCGGUAAUACGGAGGGUGCAAGGGUUAUUCGGAAUUACUGGGCGUAAAGGGCGUGCAGGCGGGAGAGCAAGUCUGAUGUUAAAGCCCGGGGCUUAACCCCGGAAGGGCGUUGGAAACUGCUUUUCUUGAGUUCUGGAGAGGAAGGGAGAAUUCCCGGUGUAGAGGUGAAAUUCAUAGAGAUCGGGAGGAACAUCAAUGUCGAAUGCGCCCUUCUGGACAGCAACUGACGCUGAGACGCGAAAGCGUGGGGAGCAAACA
Molecule: ribosomal RNA, 415 nt
Filed under: uncultured prokaryote
Description: bacterial SSU rRNA
Rfam family: Bacterial small subunit ribosomal RNA
Source: RNAcentral